Molecule: long non-coding RNA, 2584 nt
Filed under: Oryza sativa Indica Group (long-grained rice)
Lineage: Eukaryota; Viridiplantae; Streptophyta; Magnoliopsida; Poales; Poaceae
Description: lncRNA OsMH63_01G047040
Source: RNAcentral
AUGGAUUCCGGCGGGUGGAUCUCCACCAUGGUCAGUUCGGUGGGUUGGAAAGCUGGUGAUCCAGUCCUCAGGAGGUAUGGGCAUGCCACAAUUCAGGCUUACCGCCGGACUCUUCACGUCAGACUGCUUUGGCUUGUGGACAAUGGGCCAUGGCUGCACCUCUCAAAUCUCACCACCACCGAUUAUGGACUUGCGAGUUUUUGGCUAUACGAGCUCAAGAAAGCACUGACGGAUGCGGACGCCCUGCUGGAGAACUGGAGGUGUGAGAUCCUGCGAGCGGAGAGUAUCGGAAGCCGCGGCACAGCCGCAAAGGUACGGCGGACCUUCUCUGGUGUCCUGGAUCCCCUCAAGGUUAUUCCUCGUCAUAGCAAGGAAUUCGACGUGGCGCUACAGGAGGAGCUGGCGGAUGUGUUUGUCUCAAUAGUGGGGAUGGGUGGGAUUGGGAAGACCACGCUAGCUCGGAUGGUCUACGACGACGAUAUAGUUCAGCAGCACUUCCCUGUGCGUUUGUGGGUGACGGUCUCUGAAGACUUCGAUACCACUACAAUUUUGCAAGGGAUUGUUGGUCCAUCAAUCCAGGGUACGUCUUUGUUGCAGCUCCAUGUCCGAGAAGUUCUCUGUGGGAAGCGGUUUCUGCUUGUAUUGGAUAGUGUUUCCCGUUUCAAUGCAGAAAAAUGGGACAGGCUGAAAAUUUCCCUUGAAUGCUGUGGCCUUGGAAGUGCUGUUCUUAUGACGACCCGAAGUGAGAAUAAAUCUAGCACCUCCCGUGCUUAUUACCUGGGAAAACUGGCUGAUGAAUAUGUCUGGUCUAUUGCAAAGCAGAUAGCAUUUGUCAAAGAAGAAGAAAGCCAAGACCUUGUCCACAUAAAAGAGGCUGUUGUUACCAUUAGUGAUGGAAUACCUCUUUCUGCUGCUAUCCUGGGGGGUUUACUACGUUCAAGACUAUAUUGUGAGUUGGAUGAUUGGCUUGUUUCAUGGGCAGAUGCAUGCGAGGAGAGAUCAGUUUGGAGGACAGAGCUUCAUGGAGAAUGGUGUCAAAGUGAUGCACAAAGAGAAGAUAUUGUCUUUCUUGCCAUUGAGUUAAGUUACAAGCACUUACCUGCAUGUAUUAAAGGAUGCUUCGCCUUUUGUUCAUUAUUCCCAAGGACUCACAAGAUAGACAAGGAUAUGUUAAUUCAAUUAUGGAUGGCUAACGAUCUGAUCCCAUCUGAUGAUGCUAUGGAUCUGGAAGCAAAGGGUUCCUGGAUUUUUGAUGAACUUGUCUCAAGGUGCUUCUUUCAGGUCACCAAGCGUGCUCAACCAUCUCAGAGUAAUAGGACAAAAUGGAGGAUGCAUGAUCUUGUCCAUGAUACUGCAGUUUUGAUUUCAAACGUUGAGUUUACUACCGUCCUAUCCUCUGUAAUGUUUGGAAGUCCCCAUGUUCAAAGUCUCCAUCACAUCUCAAUAGUCAGCUGCAGAAAUAAAGUUACUUGCAUUCCUCUGCUUCCUGCUCCAAAUCUCCCUAACCUACGCACACUACUAUCACUAGAAGAACAAUAUCCUUUGUAUGAAUGGAAUGUUGAUUUCUCAAAAUGCAAGUCCUUGAGAGUAUUAGACCUACAUGGUUUCCAUUCUUCUCAAGUAAUGUUACCGUCCAGGUUUUUGGAGCAUCUUCGGUAUCUUGACCUCUCCAACAGUUGGAUCACAUCUAUUCCAGAUGAUGUUGUAUAUCUCUACAAUCUGCAAACUCUAAGACUCUCAGAGUGUUGUUACUUGAAACAGCUCCCAAAAGACUUGAGAAAACUGAAAAGCCUUAGGAAUCUCUACCUUGAUGGAUGUUUUCGGCUUGAGAAUGUUCCCCUUAAUCUUGGACAGUUAAAAGACCUGCAUAUACUUACAACUUUCAUAGUAGGCACUGAUGAUGGUUGUGGAAUUGGACAGCUAAAAGGCCUGAACCUUGAGGGCCAGUUAGAGAUAUAUAAUCUGAAGAAUGUCAAGAGGAUUGAAGAUGUGAAGGGUGUGAACCUUCAUACAAAAGAAAAUUUGCGUCAUCUAACUUUAUGUUGGGGCAAGUUUAGGGAUGGAAGUAUGCUGGCUGAAAAUGCCAAUGAAGUAUUGGAAGCUCUUCAACCUCCUAAGAGGUUACAGUCUCUCAAAAUAUGGCGAUACACGGGCCUAGUUUUCCCUCGAUGGAUUGCAAAAACUUCGUCACUACAGAAUCUAGUCAAACUCUUUCUGGUAAAUUGUGAUCAGUGCCAAAAGCUUCCCACAAUAUGGUGCCUUAAAACACUUGAGCUUCUAUGCCUAGAUCAGAUGAAAUGCAUUGAAUACAUAUGCAACUAUGAUACAGUUGAUGCGGAAGAAUGCUACGACAUCUCACAAGCUUUCCCAAAGUUGAGGGAGAUGACGUUACUAAACAUGCAAAGUUUGAAGGGAUGGCAAGAAGUUGGAAGAUCUGAAAUUAUUACUCUGCCUCAGCUAGAAGAGAUGACAGUGAUUAACUGUCCAAUGUUCAAGAUGAUGCCGGCCACUCCGGUGCUCAAGCAUUUCAUGGUAGAAGGAGAACCAAAGCUAUGUUCAAGCUAUGUUCUUUAGCGAUGUUCAA